CCCUUAGAUGUCCAGGGCUGCACGCGCGCUACACUGACUGGCUCAGCGUGUGCCUACCCUACGCCGGCAGGCGCGGGUAACCCGUUGAACCCCAUUCGUGAUGGGGAUCGGGGAUUGCAAUUAUUCCCCAUGAACGAGGAAUUCCCAGUAAGUGCGGGUCAUAAGCUUGCGUUGAUUAAGUCCCUGCCCUUUGUACACACCGCCCGUCGCUACUACCGAUUGGAUGGUUUAGUGAGGCCCUCGGAUCGGCCCCGCCGGGGUCGGCCCACGGCCCUGGCGGAGCGCUGAGAAGACGGUCGAACUUGACUAUCUAGAGGAAGUAAAAGUCGUAACA
This 334-nucleotide ribosomal RNA is filed under the name uncultured eukaryote. Its description in RNAcentral is "partial 18S ribosomal RNA". It matches the Rfam family "Eukaryotic small subunit ribosomal RNA", at positions 1470 to 1796 of the family's 1831-position model. The record is from RNAcentral.